RNAcentral lists this ribosomal RNA (764 nucleotides) under uncultured Streptococcus sp. RNAcentral describes it as "bacterial SSU rRNA". It matches the Rfam family "Bacterial small subunit ribosomal RNA", at positions 28 to 776 of the family's 1533-position model. Lineage: Bacteria; Bacillati; Bacillota; Bacilli; Lactobacillales; Streptococcaceae. The record is from RNAcentral.
GACGAACGCUGGCGGCGUGCCUAAUACAUGCAAGUAGAACGCUGAAGGAGGAGCUUGCUUCUCUGGAUGAGUUGCGAACGGGUGAGUAACGCGUAGGUAACCUGCCUGGUAGCGGGGGAUAACUAUUGGAAACGAUAGCUAAUACCGCAUAAGAGUAGAUGUUGCAUGACAUUUGCUUAAAAGGUGCAAUUGCAUCACUACCAGAUGGACCUGCGUUGUAUUAGCUAGUUGGUGGGGUAACGGCUCACCAAGGCGACGAUAUAUAGCCGACCUGAGAGGGUGAUCGGCCACACUGGGACUGAGACACGGCCCAGACUCCUACGGGAGGCAGCAGUAGGGAAUCUUCGGCAAUGGACGGAAGUCUGACCGAGCAACGCCGCGUGAGUGAAGAAGGUUUUCGGAUCGUAAAGCUCUGUUGUAAGAGAAGAACGAGUGUGAGAGUGGAAAGUUCACACUGUGACGGUAUCUUACCAGAAAGGGACGGCUAACUACGUGCCAGCAGCCGCGGUAAUACGUAGGUGGCAAGCGUUAUCCGGAUUUAUUGGGCGUAAAGAGAGUGCAGGCGGUUUUCUAAGUCUGAUGUGAAAGCCUUCGGCUUAACCGGAGAAGUGCAUCGGAAACUGGAUAACUUGAGUGCAGAAGAGGGUAGUGGAACUCCAUGUGUAGCGGUGGAAUGCGUAGAUAUAUGGAAGAACACCAGUGGCGAAAGCGGCUACCUGGUCUGCAACUGACGCUGAGACUCGAAAGCAUGGGUAGCGAACAGG